RNAcentral lists this ribosomal RNA (253 nucleotides) under uncultured bacterium. RNAcentral describes it as "partial 16S ribosomal RNA". It matches the Rfam family "Bacterial small subunit ribosomal RNA", at positions 524 to 776 of the family's 1533-position model. The record is from RNAcentral.
UACAGAGGAUGCAAGCGUUAUCCGGAAUGAUUGGGCGUAAAGCGUCUGUAGGUGGCUUUUUAAGUCCGCCGUCAAAUCCCAGGGCUCAACUCUGGACAGGCGGUGGAAACUACCAAGCUGGAGUACGGUAGGGGCAGAGGGAAUUUCCGGUGGAGCGGUGAAAUGCGUAGAUAUCGGAAGGAACACCGGUGGCGAAAGCGGCGCGCUGGAUCCCUACUGACGCUGAGGCACGAAAGCCAGGGGAGCAAACGGG